AAUAGAUACCCGGGUAGUCCAUGCCGUAAACGUUGGGAACUAGGUGUGGGUCUCAUUCCACGAGAUCCGUGCCGCAGCUAACGCAUUAAGUUCCCCGCCUGGGGAGUACGGCCGCAAGGCUAAAACUCAAAGGAAUUGACGGGGGCCCGCACAAGCGGCGGAGCAUGCGGAUUAAUUCGAUGCAACGCGAAGAACCUUACCAAGGCUUGACAUACACCGGAAUCACUCAGAGAUGGGUGCGUCUUCGGACUGGUGUACAGGUGGUGCAUGGUUGUCGUCAGCUCGUGUCGUGAGAUGUUGGGUUAAGUCCCGCAACGAGCGCAACCCUCGUUCUAUGUUGCCAGCACGUGAUGGUGGGGACUCAUAGGAGACUGCCGGGGUCAACUCGGAGGAAGGUGGGGAUGACGUCAAAUCAUCAUGCCCCUUAUGUCUUGGGCUUCACGCAUGCUACAAUGGCCGGUACAAAGGGCUGCGAAACCGCGAGGUGGAGCGAAUCCCAAAAAACCAGUCUCAGUUCGGAUUGGGGUCUGA
RNAcentral lists this ribosomal RNA (531 nucleotides) under uncultured bacterium. RNAcentral's name for it is "bacterial SSU rRNA". It matches the Rfam family "Bacterial small subunit ribosomal RNA", at positions 777 to 1308 of the family's 1533-position model. The record is from RNAcentral.